UCCACUGUUGAAGGGGUGAGACCUCCCAUCAUCUUCUACCUCAGAUCCCUUCAGUUCAUCUGUUUGCAUCAUGUUCAGGCUCCUUGUACAUUUAGCAGCUCUGCCGUUCUGUCUGACAGAACUCUCUAAAAACAGCGUUGACCAGAAUCCCUCUGCCAUGAUGAAACAUCCUGGAGACGCUGCAGUGAUUAAAUGCAGCCACUCCAACUCUGACUGGAAAAUGAUCCAGUGGUACAAACAGUCUGCAGGGACCACGGAGAUGGUUCUUCUUGGCUAUGUUCGAUAUUCUAAUCCAAGCACUGAAGACCAGUUUAAAGACUCAUAUAACAUGAGCGGUGAAGGGUCCAGUCUGUCAUCCCUUCACAUGUUAAAGUUAAGCGAAACCGAAGACGGCGCUGUGUUUUUCUGUGCAGCGAGUAGAGCACAGUGAUGAAAACUCCUGCCAACUUUGACAAAAACCUUCUGUGGUAACACAUCUACAACACUUCAACAGAUA
Sphaeramia orbicularis (orbiculate cardinalfish) is the source of this 496-nucleotide non-coding RNA. The record is from the annotation of a RefSeq genome assembly. Lineage: Eukaryota; Metazoa; Chordata; Actinopteri; Kurtiformes; Apogonidae.